CAACUCUUGACAUCCCCCUGACCGGUACAGAGAUGUACCUUCCCCUUCGGGGGCAGGGGUGACAGGUGGUGCAUGGUUGUCGUCAGCUCGUGUCGUGAGAUGUUGGGUUAAGUCCCGCAACGAGCGCAACCCUUGUCCUUAGUUGCCAGCAUUUGGUUGGGCACUCUAGGGAGACUGCCGGUGACAAACCGGAGGAAGGUGGGGAUGACGUCAAAUCAUCAUGCCCCUUAUGAGUUGGGCUACACACGUGCUUCAAUGGACGGUACAAAGGGCAGCGAAGCCGCGAGGUGGAGCCAAUCCCAGAAAGCCGUUCUCAGUUCGGAUUGCAGGCUGCAACUCGCCUGCAUGAAGUCGGAAUCGCUAGUAAUCGCAGGUCAGCAUACUGCGGUGAAUACGUUCCC
RNAcentral lists this ribosomal RNA (401 nucleotides) under uncultured bacterium. RNAcentral's name for it is "bacterial SSU rRNA". It matches the Rfam family "Bacterial small subunit ribosomal RNA", at positions 975 to 1375 of the family's 1533-position model. The record is from RNAcentral.